RNAcentral lists this ribosomal RNA (252 nucleotides) under uncultured bacterium. Its description in RNAcentral is "partial 16S ribosomal RNA". It matches the Rfam family "Bacterial small subunit ribosomal RNA", at positions 524 to 776 of the family's 1533-position model. The record is from RNAcentral.
UACGUAGGGUGCAAGCGUUGUCCGGAUUUAUUGGGCGUAAAGAGCUCGUAGGCGGCACAGUAGGUCAGAAGUUAAAACGCAGGGCUCAACCCUGCGUCGCUUUUGAAACCGCUGAGCUUGAGUAUGGCAGGGGAAGACGGAAUUCCACGUGUAGCGGUGAAAUGCGCAGAUAUGUGGAGGAACACCAAUGGCGAAGGCAGUCUUCUGGGCCAUUACUGACGCUGAGGAGCGAAAGCGUGGGGAGCGAACAGG